This 1146-nucleotide long non-coding RNA is filed under the name Chloebia gouldiae (Gouldian finch). Its description in RNAcentral is "Erythrura gouldiae (Gouldian finch) lncRNA (ENSEGOG00005000149.1)". Lineage: Eukaryota; Metazoa; Chordata; Aves; Passeriformes; Passeridae. The record is from RNAcentral.
AUGCCGCCUGCACGCACAACCCUCGGGUGCGCACCGGGGUCCGGGUACCCCUUCCCCGGCCUCCCCCCGCCCUCCAGGUCCGAUUCACCGAGCGCUGCUUUCCCAGACUUCCCCCCGGAGCAGGACCCCCGCCCGCCGCCCCUCCUCUCCCGUAGCCCACCCCGGCGGCACCGGCUCAGCAUCGCUCCCCCGCUCCGCCGGGAUCUCACCCGGGGAGGAAAACUCCCCAAAAAACCCCCCCGGCCGAUCGACCCGCGCUCGGCUCCCCGUCCCCGCCGCAGCUCCCGAGAGGCCCGGGCCCCAAAGAUGGCACUGCCAGGGGCCGGGAGGCCGGUGACAGGGAGGGAGAUGUGGGAGAACACCCCCGCCGAAGUGGCCCGGAGCAGGCGGGGCCCCGCACGGGGAGCGGGUCUCCUCCUCCUCGGGCAGGCACGCAGGCAGCGGGGCGGCCGCGCCGAGACGCACCGAAACUUUCCUGCCACAAAGAAGCAGCCACGGCUCCGCCGCCUUCUCCACCUCCUCCUUCCCAGCCACCGGCUCCAUCCCUGCCGCCCCCCGCCCGCUCCCCCGGCGGCGCUCACCGGGCGGCCCCGGGCCGGGCACCCCGCGCUCCGCAGGCGGCUCUCGCUGCUCCGGAGGCGGCGACGGCGGCGGCAGCAACCCCGCGCCUCGUCCCACUGCUCCCCCCUCGGCCGCAGGCAGCGCGGAGGCGGCGGCCUCGCAUCAUCGCCCCGCCUCGGGGCACCGUCAGGCGCCGGGACCCUCCCCCCGGGACCCUCCGCCCCGGCGGGCGGCGGCUGCGCGGAGCGGGGCGGGAGAGGAGGCGGAGGCAGCGGCCGGGGGAUGGAAGGUGCUGCCGGGUCGUGCCUAGCGGGACGGGACGGCCAGGCCACUGCCUCCAGAGGGGCUUCUUCAGGAAAGCACGAGGGAAUAUCCCCCAGCAAAGCGAGUGCGGGCAGGCAGAAACUCGGGGCUCUGUGGCAGGCAAGGCAGCCCGGGAAGCCGGGGCGGGAGCAGCGGGGCGCGGGGGUCUCGCCGGGCGCCCGGACAGCGCUCCCGUGCCGGAGGGAGGCGGGAGAAAAGGAACAGGGGGCAGCGCCGCUGGAAGCGCUAGAGGGGAGCGCGAUGAGCUGCCCCGAUGGCUGA